This 125-nucleotide ribosomal RNA is filed under the name Nannospalax galili (Upper Galilee mountains blind mole rat). Lineage: Eukaryota; Metazoa; Chordata; Mammalia; Rodentia; Spalacidae. The record is from RNAcentral.
AUCUACUGCCAUACCACCCUGAAUGCACCAGAUCUCAUCUGAUCUCAGAAGCUAAGCAGGGUCAGUCCUCAUUAGUUCUCAAAAGAGAGAACGAAGCCCACAGAAAUGUUACUCCGUGGUUGUUC